Molecule: long non-coding RNA, 466 nt
Filed under: Homo sapiens (human)
Lineage: Eukaryota; Metazoa; Chordata; Mammalia; Primates; Hominidae
Description: non-protein coding PXN-AS1:17
Source: RNAcentral
GGAGCUGGAGCUGGAGCUGCGAAUUCGGAGUCCCGGUUCCCUGUGCCACCUGGCGAGCUCAGCAAACUAAAAGGUAUGACGUGGAGCUGAGACAUAAUUGCACAUGCUUAGAAACAGAAUGGUUUCUCUUUUUUUUUUUUUUUUUGAGACGGAGUGUCGCUCUGUCGCCCAGGCUGGAGCGCAGUGGCGCCAUCUCGGCUGACUGCAAGCUCCGCCUCCCGGGUUCACGCCAUUCUCCUGCCUCAGCCUCCGGAGUAGCUGGGACUACAGGCGCCCGCCACCGUGCUCGGCUAAUUUUUUUUUUGUAUUUUUAGUAGAGACGGGGUUUCAUCAUGUUCUCCAGGAUGGUCUCGAUCUCCUGACCUCGUGAUCUGCCCGCCUCGGCCUCCCAAAGUGCUGGGAUUACAGGCGUGACCCGCCGCGCCCGGCCUCAGAAUGGUCUCUCGUCUUCUCUAGUUUUUCCGCC